UAUAAACGUAACUCUGUAUUUUGUAUGUGUGAGUGUGAUUUUCAAUCUACCCGAAAAUCGCCAUUUUUUUUACUCGUGCCACUCAUGAUUCAGUCUGCUGCAGUACAACAACGAGGUUAGAGAUUUGCACACCCGAGGCAACAAUCCAAGUGUGCUUUCCGCUGAUCCGAGUUGCCAUACGAUCCGCCAAUCCUCCGCCAUACGAUAAUCGCCCAAAACCCGUCAUCCAGCUGCCCAUUUGCUUCGACAUCUGACGAUCAACUUUCUUGGCCCCAAACUGGGCGGAUAACCUUGUGAUUUUUUACCGGGGCGUGCGGAUCUGCGUCGACAAGUAAGGCCAUCCGACAACCCACUCGCUCGGCCCCAAAACCAACAUCCGGCUGCUCAUCCGGGUGGAUUUGCUUACGGGGCGUGUGGACCUGCGUCGGCAAGGAGACACGAUUUCGUGAGGCUCGUCACGACCAACCGCUACGUGCGGACCUGCGUGAACAACAAGAUCCGGCUGCUCGUCAACAAAAUCCGGCUGCUCAUCAACAAGAUCUGGCUGCUCAUCCGGGUGGUCUUGCUCACGGGGCGUGUGGACCUGUAAGGUCAUCCGACGACCAACUCGCUCGGCCCAAGAUUCGGCUGCUCGUCAACAAGAUCCG
Culex pipiens pallens (northern house mosquito) is the source of this 647-nucleotide long non-coding RNA. RefSeq lists it as uncharacterized. Lineage: Eukaryota; Metazoa; Arthropoda; Insecta; Diptera; Culicidae. The record is from RefSeq and is a predicted model, not a curated record. The transcript is spliced from 3 exons.